RNAcentral lists this RNase P RNA (345 nucleotides) under bovine gut metagenome. RNAcentral's name for it is "Bacterial RNase P class A". It matches the Rfam family "Bacterial RNase P class A". From Rfam's summary of the family: Ribonuclease P (RNase P) is a ubiquitous endoribonuclease, found in archaea, bacteria and eukarya as well as chloroplasts and mitochondria. Its best characterised activity is the generation of mature 5'-ends of tRNAs by cleaving the 5'-leader elements of precursor-tRNAs. The record is from RNAcentral.
CUGCUGGAUAAUCGCGGCUGCAGGUGCCGAAAGGCCGCAGGUGAGGAAAGUCCGGGCUUCCACAGGGCAGAAUGCCGGAUAACGUCCGGCGGGGGUGACCCCAGGACCAGUGCAACAGAAAUAAACCGCCGGCCGCAUAAGGCCGGUAAGGGUGGAAAGGCGGGGCAAGAGCCCACCGCUUCCCCGGCAACGGGGAGGGCAUAUGUAAACUCCAUUCGGAAGCAAGACCGCAUAUAAAACUAUACGCAGCCCGGCGUGUUUUAGGGUAGGUCGCUUGAGCCUGCCGGCAACGGCAGGCCUAGAGAGAUGAUUAUCAGAACAUAACCCGGCUUACGGGCAGGCUUA